RNAcentral lists this small RNA (154 nucleotides) under Lactobacillus mulieris. RNAcentral describes it as "M-box riboswitch (ykoK leader)". It matches the Rfam family "M-box riboswitch aptamer (ykoK leader)". From Rfam's summary of the family: M-box riboswitch, also know as ykoK leader is described as a metaloregulatory RNA that sense divalent metals and function as a genetic control element of genes related to divalent metal transport in bacteria. Lineage: Bacteria; Bacillati; Bacillota; Bacilli; Lactobacillales; Lactobacillaceae. The record is from RNAcentral.
UGAACUGUUAGGUGAGACUCCUACGUGAACACACGCUAUCGCCCAGGAACAUCCAGAGAUGCCAACGGGUCAAACAGGUAUUGUCGAGUUAAGGCACUAUCCAGAUAGCUAGCAUGUGCUUACGUCACGUAGUGUUAAAACUGAACGAUUGGUU